GUCGAACGGCAGCACGGGGAGCAACCCUGGUGGCGAGUGGCGAACGGGUGAGUAAUACAUCGGAACGUGUCCUGUAGUGGGGGAUAGCCCGGCGAAAGCCGGAUUAAUACCGCAUACGCUCUACGGAGGAAAGGGGGGGAUCUUAGGACCUCUCGCUACAGGGGCGGCCGAUGGCAGAUUAGCUAGUUGGUGGGGUAAAGGCCUACCAAGGCGACGAUCUGUAGCUGGUCUGAGAGGACGACCAGCCACACUGGGACUGAGACACGGCCCAGACUCCUACGGGAGGCAGCAGUGGGGAAUUUUGGACAAUGGGCGCAAGCCUGAUCCAGCAAUGCCGCGUGUGUGAAGAAGGCCUUCGGGUUGUAAAGCACUUUUGUCCGGAAAGAAAACCUCUGGGUUAAUACCCCGGGGGGAUGACGGUACCGGAAGAAUAAGCACCGGCUAACUACGUGCCAGCAGCCGCGGUAAUACGUAGGGUGCAAGCGUUAAUCGGAAUUACUGGGCGUAAAGCGUGCGCAGGCGGUCCGCUAAGACAGAUGUGAAAUCCCCGGGCUUAACCUGGGAACUGCAUUUGUGACUGGCGGGCUAGAGUAUGGCAGAGGGGGGUAGAAUUCCACGUGUAGCAGUGAAAUGCGUAGAGAUGUGGAGGAAUACCGAUGGCGAAGGCAGCCCCCUGGGCCAAUACUGACGCUCAUGCACGAAAGCGUGGGGAGCAAACAGGAUUAGAUACCCUGGUAGUCCACGCCCUAAACGAUGUCAACUAGUUGUUGGGGAUUCAUUUCCUUAGUAACGUAGCUAACGCGUGAAGUUGACCGCCUGGGGAGUACGGUCGCAGAUUA
This 839-nucleotide ribosomal RNA is filed under the name Burkholderia sp. HOB3-20_Pa. RNAcentral's name for it is "bacterial SSU rRNA". It matches the Rfam family "Bacterial small subunit ribosomal RNA", at positions 61 to 896 of the family's 1533-position model. Lineage: Bacteria; Pseudomonadati; Pseudomonadota; Betaproteobacteria; Burkholderiales; Burkholderiaceae. The record is from RNAcentral.